This 253-nucleotide ribosomal RNA is filed under the name uncultured bacterium. RNAcentral describes it as "partial 16S ribosomal RNA". It matches the Rfam family "Bacterial small subunit ribosomal RNA", at positions 524 to 776 of the family's 1533-position model. The record is from RNAcentral.
UACGUAGGGGGCAAGCGUUAUCCGGAAUUACUGGGUGUAAAGGGUGCGUAGGCGGUAAGGUAAGUCAGAUGUGAAAGCCCUAGGCUCAACUUAGGGACUGCAUUUGAAACUGCCUUACUAGAGUGCAGGAGAGGAAAGUGGAAUUCCUAGUGUAGCGGUGAAAUGCGUAGAUAUUAGGAGGAACACCAGUGGCGAAGGCGACUUUCUGGACUGUAACUGACGCUGAGGCACGAAAGCGUGGGGAGCGAACAGG